UUCUGAUUAGUGGCGAACGGGUGAGUAACACGUGAGUAACCUGCCCUUCACUUUGGGAUAACCGCCGGAAACGGUGGCUAAUACUGGAUAUGACCUUGUUCCGCAUGGGGUGGGGUUGAAAGAUUUUUUGGUGGGGGAUGGGCUCGCGGCCUAUCAGCUUGUUGGUGGGGUGAUGGCUCACCAAGGCUUCGACGGGUAGCCGGCCUGAGAGGGCGAUCGGCCACACUGGGACUGAGAUACGGCCCAG
RNAcentral lists this ribosomal RNA (247 nucleotides) under uncultured bacterium. RNAcentral's name for it is "partial 16S ribosomal RNA". It matches the Rfam family "Bacterial small subunit ribosomal RNA", at positions 86 to 334 of the family's 1533-position model. The record is from RNAcentral.